UUUUUGGGAUCACGGGCGCCGGCUAGGGCUGGCUCUUCGACUUCCUGCCGAUCGCCGGCAGAUCAAAGGGCCUCCGCCCUGAGCGCCUCCGCCCAAAGUGCCGGACGGCAGCAACCCCGCCGCAGCCGUCCUCCCGCGAAUCCCCAGCGUCGCCCUCGCCUCCCGCCGAACCCGCCCUUCGCCGGCGCCACGAGUGGCGCACGCCUCACCACCCGCGAACCCGACCUGCGCCGCCGCCCCGCCCUGCGGGCUUAGGCCGCCGCCGCCAGCGCGCGGGCAGCGGGCUCCGGCUGAGAUGGGGCCAUGGGGGAAGAAGAAUGGCAGCCGGCCCCGCCCCGAGGCAGAUCCGCAGCCGGCGCAGCACAAUGCCUCAGCAAGGAAGGCCGACGCCCCAGCGCUCCGUCCCUCGAAGACCAGCGCCGUCCUCCACAUAUAGCGCCAGCCGGUUCACGCGGCGAACGGCGACCGGCACAACCGGCGCUGCCCCUCGGUACAAGCCUACAAGAGGCUGCACCCUGUCCAGUGCGGCCCCUCCCACAGGCCGAUUUAUGCAUAUGCAUCGGGAGAUUCGUAGAUGUACGCCCAGAACUGGAUAAGCUUGCAGAACAUGGAUAUUUGGUGAAAGAUGACAGUACUAGCCUUUUGGUUCUGAACUUAUUUGUUUCACCUUCUCAUUGUCCUAUUAUGAAUUUCAUCUCUGCUUGGCUAUAGGUAUUCCAGAAGGAUAUAGCUAGCUGAAAGAAUUAUGUUUGUGUUUUCUUUGGAUGUUUGAUGAAAUUCAUAAUAGGGAUGUCGUCUCUUGUUUGUGUAGCCAGAGAAUGGUGUGCGUCACCUUCUCACCCUCCUUUCCUAUUUUUUGGAGUAUUUACUGCUUUUGUUCUUUUUAGUUCACUUCCCAUUUUCCUCAAAUUGACUAUGCCUUGGGUUACUAACCUGCUCAUCAUGCUGCCCGACAUUGACACUGGGAGUACCAGCCUGCUCAUCAUGCAAAGUUGUAUUGUUUCAUGGAUAAGCCUUACAAUACACAAUUUGCAAAGUUGUAUUGUUCAUACAUACAGGAGCUGCGCCAACCUCACUGUUCUUCUCCAUAGAGGACAAGCUACUCUUGCGUAUGGAUUUCCACAGUUGGUUGCAUUUCUUUUUUCAAGGAAGCUAUUAUGACAUUGGCAAGGCUGGGUUUGUAAGCAGCAGUACACAAAUUAGAUGUGGCACGUGAAAGGUGAGAAGUGCUUCCAAUUCUUCAUGGUUUCAACAACAGUCUUCCAAUUCUUUUAUAUUUUGGUUCCAGAUGCUUUGUUGCUCAUUUGCAUUGCGAAAGCAUUUCUUCUUUUGUAGUGGAAUUGACAAUGUAAGGAUUCCAUUCGGUUUUUCCAAUUCAUACUAACUAAUCUAUACUCGGCAAUCCCAUUUCUUUGCAUGCUUUGGUUUCUAUAUAAAAGAUAUUAGAGUUGCAAUCCCAUUUAGAGUUUGAAAAAUUACAGCACUUGUUGGAGUGCACGGGAAUUAAACUUUGGCUCAAGUUCCUCCUCCCCGCUACCUUUUGCUCGAUCCACGGCACCGCUGCUCAGGAACAUUGCUGCUGCUGGUUGAAGAGAGGAGGAGCCGUACGGAGACAUGUUACCUGUACGAACCACCAGUACAAAUACAACCUGCACUCUCUUGUGCUCCUGCUGUUUUAUAUGAUACAGUGAUUUGCAGGGACAUUUUGCAUGAUGCCUACUGUAUUGUUUUAAAUCUGUUAAUAGUCAAAUAGAGUUUCUAACCUAUGUACAUGUUGAGAGAUUCCUCGAGGCCACCACGCCUGUGGUUAUGCCCAGCUGCUCCUCCAAGGUAAUGGAAGAUACACCUCUUCGUUUUAGUAGUUUGGUUGUUCUUAAUUCAACGAUGUACUGCUAGAACCACAAAAUGAACAUCUGCAAUUAGUUGUCUUACAGUAUUGUAAACAGUGAACAUUAGCUCAAGUUUCAGUUGUGCAGAAGCUUUUUAUGUUAAGAUUGUUCUUCUAGCGGUGAUUGUGUUCAUAUGCUCAUUCAAUAUUUGUAAAAACAAAGACUGAACAAAACUGGUUUACAAGUUCAGAGUUCAGAUGCGGAUCAGUUUCAGUCCCUGUUGUACCAUUUGAGAUGUUCUUCACCUGCUUUUGUUCUGCAUUACAUUCAGAUUGAUCUGUAGCACAGCAUUGUCCUGAAAUUUUACUUUUCGUAAGGUUCUUAGGUACCCCCAUUGUCCUAUAAAUUCUCUUGACUGGUUUUGCAAUGUGAUAAUGUCUUUUCGUUUACUAAUAGGUUGAGAAUAUCAUCAUUGUUCCUCUUCAUUCCGUACUUAUAUUCUACUUGUCUUCCCAGAUAUGAGACCUCCGCACAUUCUAGAUAACUAUAUUGUUAGAAAUUGAUCUAAGCUGUUAGGGAUCGGUAAUUUUUUAUUACAAUUAUCUCGCUGCUAUUUCUUUCAAGCAAAAUUAUCUUGCAUAACCUUCUGGAAUCUGAGGUUUAUCUGAAGCUAAAGUUGAGAUGAUCAGUGAGCCAGCUUAAGAACUUCUGGUGUGAUCAUUUAAAUUGUUUUUUACCUAAAAGCUUUCGUGCAAUAAGUUUUGUGUAAUAUGCUGUGCUAAAAUUGCCUUGUUUAUCUUUUGUCACGGAGCCAGGGCUUUAUGUCUGGAAGUGAUAUUCUUAAGGUAAGAAAGAUGGAUUUAAGCUACUGACCAGUGUACAGUCCAAUGUAGGAUGAUUGUCCACUUUCUUUUUAUGCAUAUUCUCUUAAUUCACUGUCCGUUUCGAAACAAAAAUUAUCAGACUAUUUUUUCUAUUACUUGAUUCUACUUUUUGUACUUCUAAAAUGCACCCGUAGCGUUAGCACGGGCACCCAUAGGUAAAGUCCAAUGUCGAAGUGCACAUGUCCGUAGUCUCCAUUCUGCUCUUAUAUCUAUCUAUAUAUGAGAUUAUUAAAUGAUGGUCUGAUGAAUGAAAAAAAAAACUUAUCCUGUGGAGUACUUUCUUAUUUGUGCUGAUGCAAAGCUGAAAAUUGGAGCAGCAUGAGAUUCAGUUUUCAGUUCUGACUGAAUCCUUAUUAACUUUUGAUUUAAUUCUGAUUAGCUACCGGUUCAUAUGCUGUCAGUGACUCUGUUUUAAGUGUUUCUAACUAUGCCUGUCCAUGCCCAUUCUAGGAAUCAAAGAUUGAUAACUAGCCUUUUGAUACCAUAGCCUUUUGAUUCAAAUAUUGAUAAGGUGCUUUGACGGUAUCAGUGCUACAAUUAGAUACCAUAGCCUUUUGAUUUUUUGUUACCCUUAUUAGCUAAGGGUAUUGUAGUAAAUUUGCCGCCCCUCAUGGUAACUAAGGGUAUUGUAGUCAUUCUCGAUCUUUGCUUUUAAUUCAGAGUUUCAGACAUACGUGUUCAUAGCUAUUCAGGGGAAGCAUUAGUUUUGUGUUAAUGAUAGUGCUUUUGGAGUCCGUGUUUAUUUUAAUUUGCGCUACGCCCAAUUAUGAACUUAUUUGUUUCACCUUCUCAUUGUCCUAUUAUGAAUUUCCUCUGUGCUUGGCUAUAGGUAUUCCAGAAGGAUAUAGCUAGCUGAAAGAAUUAUGUUUGUGUUUUCUUUGGAAUUGGAUGUUUGAUGAAAUUCAUAAUAGGGAUGUCGUCUCUUGUUUGUGUAGCCAGAGAAUGGUGUGCGUCACCUUCUCACCCUCCUUUCCUAUUUUUUGGAGUAUUUACUGCUUUUGUUCUUUUUAGUUCACUUCCCAUUUUCCUCAAAUUGACUAUGCCUUGGGUUACUAACCUGCUCAUCAUGCUUCCCGACAUUGACACUGGGAGUACCAGCCUGCUCAUCAUGCAAAGUUUUUUCCCUCUUUCUAAGACCAAUUUAUCUUCCUGCGCAUGGCUCUUCCUUAUAGAUUCAAUUGCUGAAUAAUGGUUAUCAGGUUAUGGAACGGCCAUAGCUUUCACUACUAUGACAUUCUAGCUCCAGUUAUACUUGUUAGUAAUAGAUGUGCUAUGAACAAUGAUUUUAUAGUGUUGGCAAUUGAAUCACAUUUGAUCUUGCGAUAUCUAAAUAUAAUGAUUUAAUUAUGCUUGUUUUCUAUGAAUAAAAAAGAGGACUGCAAUAUCAUAAUCAAGGAUAGUAAAUUAGCUUGGAAAAGUGGCAUUACUUAUUUUGAAUAUCUUAAACCUAUGAUGUUGGGAAAAUGAUGGCACAUUUAUUGGCAACUCAAAGACAUGGUAAAAGAUGGGGGCUACUGAAGUUUUGCAGCCAUGUACGGUAUGUGGCAAUAGGAACCUUUUUGGAUGGUUAGCAAAUUAUCCUUUUAGUAAGAUGUCAUUUUUGGUGUGUUUUUCAUGUUGUUACACUCUUCUGUGUUCUCAUCAUCAGGUGGAAACCUAAUCUCUAUUAGGUGGAAAUGUAUUCUCUAUACAUGUACUAACCAUAAAGAAAAUAUAUUUAGAAAUUAGAAUUUAUAAUGUAGGAUUGGGCUUGAAAUAUUUGGACAGAAACAAGGUGUACCUCCAAAAAUCCCUGCAUUUAGUUGAGCUCUUGCUAUGCUUGGGUGGAUUUCGUUCUUUGUUUGUAUAGGAUUGGCUUCCUCUUCUGUGGAGAUCAAGGUGAUUUGAUUGCCAUAUGUAGGGAAAGGAAGAAUAACUGAAUUGGCAGGUAAGUUUGAAAAUCCAUAACCAAACAUUUUGAUGCUGUACCAAACAAAGAACAUGUUGUGAAUCUAGGCAAACUAUACUUUCUGUUUGUCUAUGUUUACAGUUUUCAAAAAAAAUGGAAGCGCUACAAUGUUUGUCAUGACUGAUGACAAUGGAUGUUAAUUGGUCAGUAUGGUGUGCAUAUCUGAUAAUGCAACCAACUCUUGCCAAUACAUGGCUCCUGCUUUGACUGUAGUCAUUAGAUUCUCUGUUGAAAUUUUUUAUUUUAUCAGUUCUUACUUCCGGAAAAGACUACAUAGCUUGUGAGGCGAACGCCCCAGGGCCGCUACCAGUGUGCAUCCAGAUAAGCGGGAAUAUUAUAACUUGUUUUGGUCUGGUGUAUCCAUUUGCUCUGGUGCGAUUCGCACAAGGAAUAAGUUAGGUUGUGUUGGUACUAUUUGGAUUUACUGUUUAGUCGAACCAGGUAUAGUUUGCUUCCAUGUGACAACUUAAUUCCAAUUUAUUUUAUUGUCUUGUACUACCAGAAUUUUUGUUUACAUUAAGGCACGAUUGCUUCAAUAGGAAAGCAUCAGAGUCACAUCUUCUGAACUUUACUCGUGCAUAAAGAAACGGUUUCACACUAAUUGCUUUGGUGAAAUUACAAAGUAUAUAACCUUGACCUCUAUUUUGGGUAUGCUACCGUUCUCAAAUUACUAUACUUUUAUACAUAUUCUUUUGUUUUUGUGUACAAUUGCAGUGGCCCACAUUGCACCCAUUUUUUGUUGCCUUGUCUUUCAUAAUGUAUUCGUGCAGGUAUAUGAGUUCAUUCUAUCAGCAGAGUUUCACCUAGCAGCUAGAGCAUUGAGUGGAGCUGGCGGAUAAUCUACAAGUAUAUACCUUUUCCUCCUCUUCGUGUGCAUGUAUCUUAUCCUUCUGUAUGAAGAGAAUACUAAUCUAGAAGACAUAGCUAAAAGGGAAAAAAAUGCUAAGACCCAAAACUUAUAGGCAAAAAAUAAAAAAAAAUGCAUACUUCCACUGUUCUUUUCUUUGAUGUUUGCAGAGUUGAGUUAGUACAUUCUGACCCACGCCGAGCAGAGCUUGGAUCGAGUCUCCAUGUUAGUAUGUUAUGAGAAAAUCAUUGGUUUUAAAAUUUUAAUUUUGAUUUUGCUUUAUGGAUGUGUUUGUAUAAUAAACAUAAUAACUCUGUCCUUUAUGUGAAACAUAUAUUUCUUAGUUUGGACUAGGGAUCAUGUGUUGCUUGGGGUAUGUUUUAAAUUUAUUCGUGGCGUUAUCACGGGUACCUUACUAGUCAUAAGUAAAAGCAUCGAUUUAGAUCAACUUCAAGUUCAAUUAUCAUGUGAGGGUCCAAGCCGCUCAUGACCGUGAGCACGAUUGAUAUAUUAGUUUUACCCACCUCUAAAAAUUGCAUUUGUAGGGGCGGGUCACCCUCUUACCCACCCCUGAAAAUUGGGUGCCCCUACAAAUGGCAUUUUUAGGAGAGGGUCAUCCCCUCACCCUGUGCAAAGUAGUGUGGUUAAACCUAUACAUGAGCCCAUGUCAAGAGCAGUACCUUGGAAUUAAAAUCUCACAUUCACACUGUAAAAUUUUAUCGAUAUUGAUCGAAAUUUGUUGGAGAUGACUUAAUAUGACUGACAAUUACUCUGUACAAAGCAGUGUGGCUAGACCUGUACAUGGGCCUCAUGUUAAGAGCCGGAUCCUGAAAUUAAAACAUUGCGUUCACACUAUAAAAUUUUAUCGAAAUUGACCGAAAUUUAUUAGAGAUGACUCAGUAUGAUUGACAGCUACUCUAUGCAAAAGCAAUGUGGUUAGACCUACACAUGAGCCCCAUAUCAAGAGCCGGACCGUGAAAUUAAAUCCUCGCGUUCACACUAUAAAAUUUUAUCAAAAUUGACCGAUUUUUUUUUGAAAUGACUCUGUAUAAUUGUAGCUACUCUAUGUAAAAUAAUAGGACAAGAUCUACAUUAUAAAAAAAUUAGAAAAAAUUCUUAUUGGUUGUAACCAUAGUUUGGCUAAUAAUUUAUUAUGUUAUGAGUUCAAAUAUUUGAGUUGAAUUGGUGUGUGGUGGUGAUUCGGAGUGGAGUGAAGUCUUAUAGUUUGUCUCAUCAAAAUGGAGUAGCGAUAAUGCUAAUAGUAAGACGUCCGACCGAAUCGAAAUAUCGGACAGCCCACUCAUCACGUGUCCAGUUCUCCAGACCACGCGUACCUGCCUUCUCUAUCCUUCCAUUGUUCUUUUUACUUUUUUUCUCGGCCGCGUUUCUCCACCGCGCAUGCCCCUACUCUUCUGCUCCCAGGCCCAGCACACGUCGCCUCCCAAGUCCCAACGCUGCAGGGUUGCAGGCCGUGCUUUUCCCUGUGCCGCGCGCUUCCCUUAUCGCUGUCGGCGGCGGCCACGGCCAUGGCGACGAGUGCGGAGCUGGCCCUGCUCGCGAGCGCGACGAAGCUGCAAGUAGAUCUGCCGGCUGGAGCUCCUCUCCCGUGGUGGGCGCCGCGACGUCGACGGGCCCUCGAGCACCAUCCCGUCAGCGUCGCAGAAGAACGCCAACACCUACCUGCCGGCCUCCAACAGAGCCAUCGCCGCCGUGGCCGGCGGCGCCUGCUCCCACGGCUCGCCUUUGGGAGCACCACAGCUGCUUUCUUCUAUGUUGCAGUAGAUUUUUUUUUAAUGUAGAAAUAGUUGAUUCGAGACGUUAGUGUCGAGAUUCAUAUUGCCGCAGGGGUGUUCUUUUAGCUAGUUGAUUUUGUGGAGGAGUUUUUUUUUCUUCAUAUGAAUUUGAUGUUGUUUUGAUGUUGCACGUUUUUUGAAUGAAUAUUGUAUGAAACAGAGCUA
Panicum virgatum (switchgrass) is the source of this 7466-nucleotide long non-coding RNA. RefSeq lists it as uncharacterized. The record is from RefSeq and is a predicted model, not a curated record. The transcript is spliced from 2 exons. Lineage: Eukaryota; Viridiplantae; Streptophyta; Magnoliopsida; Poales; Poaceae.